AUGAGCCUCUCUGAUAUUUUCCGGGGGUUUUUUGGCUUUCCCGGACCUCAGAGGUGAGAGUAGGUUCAGCUUGAACAAAGAGAUCCCUUUUUUGGAGGAAUGACGCGAGUGAAGAUGAGGAUGAAGAAGAGGAAGAAGGAGCUACGUGGGGCUGUGGGAGCCCAAGAUUUGAUGGUCUCCAGUCCCCUGAGGAAUUUGGCUUCAGCUUCAGAUUCAGUCCAGGAGGAGGGAUGCGUUUCCGUGAUAACUUUGGCUUUGAUGACCUAGUACGAGAUUUCAAUAGCAUCUUUGGCGAGAUGGGGGCCUGGACCUUGCCUUCCCAACCUCCUGAGCUUCCAGAGUCAGAGAUACCUUGUGAGAGACUGCGGAAGAGACAGACACUUCGGGACUCAAUGCUUAAGUAUCCAGAUAGUCACCAGCCCAGGAUCUUUGGGGGGGUCUUGGAGAGUGAUGCAAGAACUGAAUCCCCUAAACCAGCACCAGACUGGGGCUCCCAGAGGCCUUUUCAGAGGUUUGAUGAUAUUUGGCCUAUGACCCCCUAUCCUAGAGCCAGAGAGGAUAAUGUCUUGAUUCCCAGGUCUCCCAGGAGGGUCUUGGCCCAGUUCUACAGCCCCAGCCCAAAUCCUAUUUCAAGAGCAUCUCUGUGACCAAGAUCACUAAGCCAGAUGGGGUAGUGGAGGAACGCCGGACUGUGGUGGACAGUGAGGGCCGGACAGAGACCACAGUAACCCGACAAGAAGGAGACAACAGUCAUAUAAGUGAUCUAGAGUCACCAAGGCCGCCAGUCCUGGAUGAUGCCUUUUCCAUCCUGGAUUUAUUCCUAGGACGUUGGUUCCGGUCCCAGUAGCCUUCGGAUCUUUCCCACGUCCCACCAGUUGCCCGUUAUCAAUAAGCUUAGCUUCUCCUGCCAUCUCAGGGGCUUGGGCAUGUGGAACAGUGAAUUGGGGGUAUGUCAGUAUGUCACCCAGACUGACCAAUAAAACUUUAUU
Molecule: RNA transcript, 989 nt
Organism: Otolemur garnettii (small-eared galago)
Lineage: Eukaryota; Metazoa; Chordata; Mammalia; Primates; Galagidae
Gene name: HCLS1-associated protein X-1-like
Exons: 1
Source: RefSeq, a predicted model, not a curated record